UCAAAGUUUGGGCUAUAUCUA
This 21-nucleotide non-coding RNA is filed under the name Arabidopsis thaliana (thale cress). Lineage: Eukaryota; Viridiplantae; Streptophyta; Magnoliopsida; Brassicales; Brassicaceae. The record is from RNAcentral.